RNAcentral lists this ribosomal RNA (440 nucleotides) under uncultured bacterium. RNAcentral's name for it is "partial 16S ribosomal RNA". It matches the Rfam family "Bacterial small subunit ribosomal RNA", at positions 338 to 795 of the family's 1533-position model. The record is from RNAcentral.
CCUACGGGAGGCAGCAGUGGGGGAUAUUGCACAAUGGGGGAAACCCUGAUGCAGCGACGCCGCGUGUAGGAAGACGGUCCUCUGGAUUGUAAACUACUGUCCCCAGGGACGAAGAUGACGGUACCUGGGGAGGACGCUCCGGCUAACUACGUGCCAGCAGCCGCGGUAAUACGUAGGGAGCGAGCGUUGUCCGGAAUUACUGGGGGUAAAGGGAGCGUAGGCGGGGAUGCAAGUUGGGUGUUAAAUCGACCGGCUCAACUGGUAGUCGCACUCAAAACUGCAGCUCUUGAGUGAAGUAGAGGCAGGCGGAAUUCCUGGUGUAGCGGUGAAAUGCGUAGAUAUUAGGAGGAACACCAGUGGCGAAGGCGGCCUGCUGGGCUUUUACUGACGCUGAGGCUCGAAAGUGUGGGGAGCAAACAGGAUUAGAUACCCUAGUAGUC